This 1252-nucleotide long non-coding RNA is filed under the name Panax ginseng (ginseng). Its description in RNAcentral is "long non-coding RNA (PGIN_LNC002766)". Lineage: Eukaryota; Viridiplantae; Streptophyta; Magnoliopsida; Apiales; Araliaceae. The record is from RNAcentral.
CUACUUCUUAAUUAUCACAAAGUAGUAAUAUUAAUUUAUUAAUAGAGUAUUACAAUAUUGUAAGAUAAGAUUAUAAAGGUCAAAAACCAAAAAAAAAAGACGCUACUAUGAUAUGAUGAGAUUUCACUCUUUAUUUGCCACCGGCCCACCGCUUACUAGUUGUAGCAUACGGUUUUACCCUCCAUCAUAACCUCCCUAGCUACCAACCCUAACGCUGGUUAUCGCCUCAAUUACCGCGGCCACAAUGGUUAAUUAAUUGCCACCAGGGGGUCCAUAACCACGUGGGGGACCUACUGGAUAUUCCCUAACAUAACCUUCACCUGGAUCAUCAGGAUCAUCGAAUUCAUUCUUGGCUUCACUCAAACCAAUUGUAUUCUUUGUCGCUGGCUCAGCAGCAUCUAUAUAUAUAUAUAUAUAUAUAUAUAUAUAUAUAUAUUAAUUACAAACAUAAUUGUUAGAGUUAAAGAUCUAAUAUUAGAUACAAUAUAAAUUAUAUAAAGAACAUAUAAUAUAUUCAGAUUCAUCAAAUUAUGGAUAUUACAUGUUUAAUAUAUUCAUUAAUACGUUUCGCACACUUUACAAUAAUUCAUACAUCAAACAUCAAUUUAUGUAGCGUAACGACUAUAAUAUAGGUUUAAACAGAUUUCUAACAUAUUACUAGACAAAUUCAAAACCUGGGACUAUUAAUAAAUCACCAAACUCAAAUAUACAUGACACUUUGCUUAAUUCAGAGGCAGUCCGCUCACCCGACUACGUAGCCGGUCAUAGCAACUGUAGUUCAAACCCGUUGAAUUAAGUAUGAGUUCAUCCCAACAAUAUUAUUAAGUAAACAUUUUAUAUAUCCAAUUUUUUUGUGGUUCUUAUUUAUUUUUUCUUCCACAUGAAUUUUGCUAUGCUUCAAUUGCAUAUAUAUAUAUAUAUAUAUAUAUAUAUAUAUAUUAUAAUGAGAUUAAAAAGAAAAGUAGGCAUAUAUAUAAAAUAUUAUGGUUAAAACUUACUGAUUUUGUUUGAAGUGGACGUAGAAGUAGUCUCGGCCAAGUCUCUAGCAGGUGCCCCCUCUGAAGUAUUCACUAGAAUAGCAAAAGCCGCCACUGCAAGAGUGAAAAGAAUAAGCGACUUCUUGGAACCCAUAUUGGUUGUCUUUCACAACAAUAUUAUAUUAUAUUCUCAUAUAUUCUGUAAUGAAAUAUGAGACACAAAGUUUAAUAUUUCGACCUCUAUUUAUAGAGACAUUAGAAUGUAUGGACACCCU